UAAUACGGAGGGUGCGAGCGUUGUCCGGAUUUAUUGGGUUUAAAGGGUGCGUAGGCGGCUGAUUAAGUCAGCGGUGAAAGACUUCGGCUUAACCGGAGCAGUGCCGUUGAUACUGGUUGGCUUGAGUGUCGGAGGGGUACAUGGAAUUGAUGGUGUAGCGGUGAAAUGCAUAGAUACCAUCAGGAACACCGAUAGCGAAGGCAUUGUACUGGCCGACAACUGACGCUGAUGCACGAAAGUGUGGGGAUCGAACAGGAUUAGAUACCCUGGUAGUCCACACCGUAAACGAUGAUUACUCGCUGUUAUGGUGUAUGCUGUAGUGGCCAAGCGAAAGCGUUAAGUAAUCCACCUGGGGAGUACGCCGGCAACGGUG
This 373-nucleotide ribosomal RNA is filed under the name uncultured bacterium. Its description in RNAcentral is "bacterial SSU rRNA". It matches the Rfam family "Bacterial small subunit ribosomal RNA", at positions 521 to 896 of the family's 1533-position model. The record is from RNAcentral.